CCAGACUCCUGCGGGAGGCAGCAGUGAGGAAUAUUGGUCAAUGGGCGGAAGCCUGAACCAGCCAAGUCGCGUGAGGGAUUAAGGCCCUGCGGGUCGUAAACCUCUUUUGCCGGGGAGCAGAGGUCCGGACGUGUCCGGGCCGGGAGAGUACCCGGAGAAAAAGCAUCGGCUAACUCCGUGCCAGCAGCCGCGGUAAUACGUAGGGAGCAAGCGUUGUCCGGAAUUACUGGGCGUAAAGGGCGCGUAGGUGGGUGCUUAAGUCAGGUGUGAAAACUCUGGGCUCAACCUGGAGACUGCACUUGAAACUGGGUAUCUUGAGGGCAGGAGAGGAAAGUGGAAUUCCUAGUGUAGCGGUGAAAUGCGUAGAUAUUAGGAGGAACACCAGUGGCGAAGGCGACUUUCUGGACUGUAACUGACGUUGAGGCACGAAAGUGUGGGGAGCAAACAGGAUUAGAUACCCCUGUAA
Molecule: ribosomal RNA, 466 nt
Filed under: uncultured bacterium
Lineage: Bacteria
Description: bacterial SSU rRNA
Rfam family: Bacterial small subunit ribosomal RNA
Source: RNAcentral